Molecule: non-coding RNA, 384 nt
Organism: Micropterus dolomieu (smallmouth bass)
Lineage: Eukaryota; Metazoa; Chordata; Actinopteri; Centrarchiformes; Centrarchidae
Source: the annotation of a RefSeq genome assembly
GUGAUGUCCGUCCCACCCUGACGGUGCUGCCCCCCUCCAGUGAGGAGCUGCAGCAGGGGAAGGCCACGCUCAUGUGCCUGGCCAACAAGGGCUUCCCCUCAGACUGGAGUCUGGCCUGGAAGGUGGACGGCAGCAGCAGCAGCAGCAGCUGGGAGGAGAGCAGGAGCCCCGGGGUGCUGGAGAAGGACGGCCGCUACAGCUGGAGCAGCACCCUGAGGCUCCCUGCAGACCAGUGGAGGAAGGUGGGCUCUGUGACCUGUGAGGCCACCCAGGGCUCCCAGGCUCUGGUCUCAGAGACACUGAGGAGAGACCAGUGUUCCCAGUCCUGACCUGACUCACUGGGACUCUGCUACUGGUGUUACUGGUCUCUCAUUACACAUUUCA